This 261-nucleotide ribosomal RNA is filed under the name uncultured prokaryote. RNAcentral's name for it is "partial 16S ribosomal RNA". It matches the Rfam family "Bacterial small subunit ribosomal RNA", at positions 524 to 784 of the family's 1533-position model. The record is from RNAcentral.
UACGGAGGAUCCGAGCGUUAUCCGGAAUUAUUGGGCGUAAAGAGCGCGCAGGUGGUUGAUUAAGUCUGAUGUGAAAGCCCACGGCUUAACCGUGGAGGGUCAUUGGAAACUGGUCGACUUGAGUGCAGAAGAGGGAAGUGGAAUUCCAUGUGUAGCGGUGAAAUGCGUAGAGAUAUGGAGGAACACCAGUGGCGAAGGCGGCUUCCUGGUCUGUAACUGACGCUGAGGCUCGAAAGCGUGGGGAGCAAACAGGAUUAGAUA